This 587-nucleotide ribosomal RNA is filed under the name uncultured prokaryote. RNAcentral's name for it is "bacterial SSU rRNA". It matches the Rfam family "Bacterial small subunit ribosomal RNA", at positions 338 to 916 of the family's 1533-position model. The record is from RNAcentral.
CCUACGGGAGGCAGCAGUGGGGAAUAUUGGACAAUGGGCGGAAGCCUGAUCCAGCCAUGCCGCGUGUGUGAAGAAGGCCUUUUGGUUGUAAAGCACUUUAAGCGAGGAGGAGGCUACUAGUACUAAUACUACUGGAUAGUGGACGUUACUCGCAGAAUAAGCACCGGCUAACUCUGUGCCAGCAGCCGCGGUAAUACAGAGGGUGCGAGCGUUAAUCGGAUUUACUGGGCGUAAAGCGUGCGUAGGCGGCUGAUUAAGUCGGAUGUGAAAUCCCUGAGCUUAACUUAGGGAUUGCAUUCGAUACUGGUCAGCUAGAGUAUGGGAGAGGAUGGUAGAAUUCCAGGUGUAGCGGUGAAAUGCGUAGAGAUCUGGAGGAAUACCGAUGGCGAAGGCAGCCAUCUGGCCUAAUACUGACGCUGAGGUACGAAAGCAUGGGGAGCAAACAGGAUUAGAUACCCUGGUAGUCCAUGCCGUAAACGAUGUCUACUAGCCGUUGGGGUCUUUGAGACUUUAGUGGCGCAGCUAACGCGAUAAGUAGACCGCCUGGGGAGUACGGUCGCAAGACUAAAACUCAAAGGAAUUGACGG